RNAcentral lists this ribosomal RNA (466 nucleotides) under uncultured bacterium. RNAcentral describes it as "partial 16S ribosomal RNA". It matches the Rfam family "Bacterial small subunit ribosomal RNA", at positions 28 to 507 of the family's 1533-position model. The record is from RNAcentral.
GAUGAACGCUGGCGGCGUGCUUAACACAUGCAAGUCGAACGAUGAAGCCCAGCUUGCUGGGUGGAUUAGUGGCGAACGGGUGAGUCACACGUGAGUAACCUGCCCUUAACUCUGGGAUAAGCCUGGGAAACUGGGUCUAAUACCGGAUAGGAGCGUCCACCGCAUGGUGGGUGUUGGAAAGAUUUAUCGGUUUUGGAUGGACUCGCGGCCUAUCAGCUUGUUGGUGAGGUAAUGGCUCACCAAGGCGACGACGGGUAGCCGGCCUGAGAGGGUGACCGGCCACACUGGGACUGAGACACGGCCCAGACUCCUACGGGAGGCAGCAGUGGGGAAUAUUGCACAAUGGGCGCAAGCCUGAUGCAGCGACGCCGCGUGAGGGAUGACGGCCUUCGGGUUGUAAACCUCUUUCAGUAGGGAAGAAGCGAAAGUGACGGUACCUGCAGAAGAAGCACCGGCUAACUACGUG